UGAAAGUGUAUCUAGGGUUCCGGCUUUUAUAGCUUGACUUAUUGUAGAAUUGUGCUAUCUGGGCAUAAUAGUGACUAGGGAAGAUAGGUUGGCUGAAAAAGUGACUGGUCCGAGUGAUACAGGUAUUGCGGCCUUGCGAUACUACACCGAGGGGAGAAAAGCCCGGGCGGG
Molecule: small RNA, 171 nt
Filed under: Thermotalea metallivorans
Lineage: Bacteria; Bacillati; Bacillota; Clostridia; Peptostreptococcales; Thermotaleaceae
Description: Guanidine-I sequence
Rfam family: Guanidine-I riboswitch aptamer
About the family: This family represents a conserved RNA structure found upstream of the ykkC and yxkD genes in Bacillus subtilis and related genes in other bacteria. The function of this family is unclear although it has been suggested that it may function to switch on efflux pumps and detoxification systems in response to harmful environmental molecules. Nelson showed that this riboswitch senses and responds to guanidine and it was renamed Guanidine-I riboswitch.
Source: Rfam by way of RNAcentral